GCACAUAUUGUAGGCCUGGAACUCUUUUGAUUAUCUUGUAUAGAUUGAGGACUGCUGUGCUUCAGCCAGCUUUUCCUUGUGUUUUCAGGUCUAUGUUUACCUUCACAACCUCUGAAUAUGUUUAGAAUGUUGGAAUAUAAUAUAUAUAUACAACUUUCAGCAACGGAUCUCUUGGCUCUCGCAUCGAUGAAGAACGCAGCGAAAUGCGAUAAGUAAUGUGAAUUGCAGAAUUCAGUGAAUCAUCGAAUCUUUGAACGCAUCUUGCGCUCCUUGGUAUUCCGAGGAGCAUGCCUGUUUGAGUGUCAUUAAUCUCUCAACCACACCAAUCUUUUUGGCUUGGUGUGGCUUUUGGAUGUGGGGGUUUUAUUUUGCUGGCUCCUAUCAAAUGAGGUCAGCUCCCCUGAAACUUAUUAGCGGUAUCUGAGCAGAGAGACCUACUACAGGUGUGAUAAAUUAUCUAUGCCUUGGUCAUACUGCAUGAACAGAUUGUGCUGCUUCCAGUGAAUCAUUUGACAAUUUUGACCUCAAAUCAGGUAGGACUACCCGCUGAACUUAA
RNAcentral lists this ribosomal RNA (556 nucleotides) under uncultured fungus. Its description in RNAcentral is "eukaryotic LSU rRNA". The stretch from base 152 to 305 matches the Rfam family "5.8S ribosomal RNA". The record is from RNAcentral. Lineage: Eukaryota; Fungi.